Ruminococcus sp. SR1/5 is the source of this 53-nucleotide non-coding RNA. Lineage: Bacteria; Bacillati; Bacillota; Clostridia; Eubacteriales; Oscillospiraceae. The record is from Rfam.
GGACCACUCCAUUUUGGGGUCAAGGCCAUACGGACAGCCGGGUCCACUGCCGC